Long non-coding RNA from Camelus dromedarius (Arabian camel), 960 nucleotides. RefSeq lists it as uncharacterized. The record is from RefSeq and is a predicted model, not a curated record. The transcript has 3 exons. Lineage: Eukaryota; Metazoa; Chordata; Mammalia; Artiodactyla; Camelidae.
UUCACAGCAUAGGUUACUUUGAGUCUGUGAAGGGUGAGUGUGGCUUUGGGAGGGCGAGAAAGGGACAGUGGGUAUGAGAGAGGAAGCCCCUAAGCCUAGCCAGGGGUGGCAGGUGAUCCAACGUCAGUGCCGGGGGUGGAGGGAGGCUGCAGAGCCAGCUGGGGGAGACAGGGGGUGGAACUGGUCUGUUGAGAACAGGGGGAGGGGAAUCACCCAGGGAGUAGGUCACUGCUGGAGGCUGGGGGCAGGGGAGUGACAUGAUUGGGUCCACGUUAUAGGCAGCUGGUGACUGUUGUGGAGGAUGAAGGGAGGCCAGAGGAGAAACAGCAGGAGGGAGGGCGUCCAGUGAGAAACUUCAACACUCUGGGCAGGAGACAAAGAGUCGGAGCAAAUGGGGAGAAGGAGCUGUCCGUGCAUCUGGGGAAGCAACUGUACUUCCCUCAAGCAGAGGGAGGAAUCAGAAGAGGUGAUAAAAUCACAGCAUAAAGCAACUGGGAUAGCUUUGGCCACACCUGUACCACCAGCUCUGUUUGCUGAGAACAUUCAGCAAGUGAUAAACGUUGGUGAUAAAUGUUCUGCUCUUGGAGAAAACAGGUUCUUCCCACUACACUUGGAAGUGUUUACCUCCAUUUUGUGGAUGACCAGUUGAACUCCAAAGCCAGGAAAUUCACCUGCAUCCCAGAGAGGAAGGAAGUGAUGCUCCAGGCAUGUUCUCCACCCAGCCUGUCCAACAGUGACGGUGAUGCCUAAUUUGCCAUUUAGCUCUGCAGGCUCUUAAUCCCCCAGUCACUGGCCAAGUCGCCUUGGAUAAUCUUUCUAUAGUUGGCCAUGGCACUGUAACAACUACUCAGUGCUCCAAAUGCCACAUUCCAGCUUCCAAUUUCCAGUGGGUUAUGUUGACUCCAGCAUCUACUAACAUAUUUGGCUUCUAACACAGCAAAACUCUGGGAGGAAACUUUU